This 253-nucleotide ribosomal RNA is filed under the name uncultured bacterium. RNAcentral describes it as "partial 16S ribosomal RNA". It matches the Rfam family "Bacterial small subunit ribosomal RNA", at positions 524 to 776 of the family's 1533-position model. The record is from RNAcentral.
UACGUAGGUGGCAAGCGUUGUUCGGAAUUAUUGGGCGUAAAGGGCGCGUAGGCGGUUUGUUAAGUCGGUCGUGAAAGCCCGGGGCUCAACCCCGGAGGGUCGACCGAUACUGGCAGACUAGAGUACAGAAGAGGUAACUGGAAUUCCCGGUGUAGCGGUGAAAUGCGUAGAUAUCAGGAGGAACACCGGUGGCGAAGGCGGCGACCUGGGCCAAUAUUGACGCUGAGGUGCGAAAGCGUGGGGAGCAAACAGG